Long non-coding RNA from Haplochromis burtoni (Burton's mouthbrooder), 574 nucleotides. RefSeq lists it as uncharacterized. The record is from RefSeq and is a predicted model, not a curated record. NCBI's taxonomy places the organism in Eukaryota, Metazoa, Chordata, Actinopteri, Cichliformes, Cichlidae. The transcript has 2 exons.
CUCUAACUGUCCAUGACUCUUCUCCAUGUCACAGCUCAGCACUCACAUCACUGCUCCAUCAUUAUUCACAGGAACCAGCCUGGACCUCCACCCAGCUCUGUGUCCUGUAAGAGUGACUGGUCUGCAGAUCGUCCCAUUCAUUUUAAAGUCUCUGCUGCAGAGAGAGGAACUAAACACAAACAUGCACCUGGACCCAGCUGUGUGUCCUGUAAGAGUGACCAGUCUGAAGAUCGUCCCAUUAAUUUUAAAGUCCGGCCUGUGUCUGCUGCAGAGAGGUGAGCUGUUAGCAACAUGAAGUCUUUGAUGUCCCUUUGCUGUCUGAUUUAAAUGAUCUGCUUGAUGGUGUUUCCUGGUCUCUCAUCUGCAUCUGAAAGGAAGUCACUGAGUGAGGAGUUCCUUUAUCCUGUAAAACAUGUCCAACAUUUAGACUCCUCACAGUAGGACCAUCAAUAACAUCGACUCACCUCAAAUUAAUGUUAAAGCAACGGCCGUUCUUUGAAGAUGUAAGGUGCAGAUAUUUGUUUAAAAAUGUAGGGAGUAAAAGUAAAUAUUGUCAGAAAAUAAAAUUAAAAAA